This 1326-nucleotide ribosomal RNA is filed under the name Triticum aestivum (bread wheat). RNAcentral describes it as "partial small subunit ribosomal RNA". Lineage: Eukaryota; Viridiplantae; Streptophyta; Magnoliopsida; Poales; Poaceae. The record is from RNAcentral.
AUGGUUGAUACCGUAGAUGAUGUGGAGGAAAACUCCGAUGUGAAUCCGAUCUCGUCUACGGGCGAUGGGGGAACCUCGGUCUCUCGUGAGGAGUUCAAUGUGGCCUUGGAGACAUUGAAAACCUCCAUGACGACCGAGGUUGAAAGCAUGUUUACUAAAUUCCUUGAAGGGCUUAAACUAUCCACCGUAUCAUUGAAAGUGGGUGAUCCAACCGACAAGGUGACGGGUGCUAUCUCCGACAAGGGGGAAGCUAGUAGUGAAAAGGCUCCUUCUUUUAGUGGUAAAAAUGGCACCGACAUCUUUGCUCAUGUGGAACCACCACUUGUUUAUGGUGGACCGGUUCCUUCCACUCAUUUGAAUCAUGCCGGUCCUCCCCCUAAGAUUGUGAAAAAUGAGGACUUUGAUUCUUGGGUUUACCGCUUUAAGCGCCAUUUAAAUCAUGUGAACACUAAUCUUUGGAGAAUCAUUGAAGAAGGUUUUCAUCUGCAUGAUCCAAGCAACUUCACUCCUCGAGAAGCCGCGGAUAACCAAUUCAAUGAGAAUGCUCUCUUCAUCAUUCAAGAUGCAAUUCCACCCGAAGAUCUACCUCAUCUUCGGCCCUUCGACUUGGCCAAAGACGCAUGGCUUUAUGUUGUCUCGCUCUACCGGGGAAGCACAAGCAUUCAACGCUCCAACUAUGAAGUGGUGCAAGAUGAAGCCGAUGAGUUUGCAAUGAAAGAAGAUGAAGAACCUCGUGAGCUUUAUCGGAGAGUAACCAAACUCGCGGUCUUACUCCGAGGUCAUGGGAGCAAGGACACGUAUGACAAUUGGAUCAAGCGCAAAUUCCUCAAGGCAAUGAUGCCUUACCACAAGGCCAUGUCCUUCGUCAUUCGUCAAAGGCCGGACUUCCACACUUUGACCUCAAGCGAAGUGUUGGAUGAGUUUGUGACCAUGAACAUCUUGGACAAGACCGCUGACAAUGCGGUGCUUCGUUCUCAAAGGGCAAAGAAGCCCAACCUUGCAUUGAAGGCCAAGGUCUGGAUUGAAGAAGAAGAAGAGGAAGAAGAGGACAGCAACCCCGAAGAUACAAAGUAUGCAUAUCAUGAACACAUGGCACUUGCUUCAAGACAUUUUUGGAGCAAGAAAAACUCAAGGCCAAACUUUAACAAAAACAACUCAAGUGGCACGAAGAGCAAGCAACGUGUAAGGACUUGCUACAAUUGUGGCAAUGUGAGUCAUUUUGUUGCGGAGUGCCCGUAUGAGAAGAGGGAAGACAAUGGUGGCAAGCUCAUCCGAAAGGACAAGGCCAAGUCGUUCCCCAACAAGAGCAACUUCACCAAGAAGACU